AAUAAGGUUGCAGUAUCAUCAUAGAAGCAAAAGCGAGAAGUCCGUUUUCUUCUUUCCUGAGCCAAUCGUUAUUCAACUAUUUUAUGCCCAAGAGGAAUUAGGGUUUAUUUCAGUUCAAGAACGAGCGUAUCAGAAACAAAUUAUUUAUUCUAAGACGAAGCCUUGUGGUCAAUUGCUAAAACCCUAAUUCCUGAGUUGAAUUGCUUGCUUCUGGAGCAUAUUUGAUUGGAAUUCGUGCUUCGCGAAGCUCACAUUUACCUCUUCGAUCUCUCUGUUUCAUCGAGAGAUAAUGCUGUACCUACGUACUUGUUGCUAAUUGAUGGAUCCUGAUAGCAAGAGUUUUGGAAGAGGGCCCAGAGAACUUACAGGUGCUGUGGAUCUUAUCAGUCACUUCAAAUUGUUGCCUCAUCACGAGUUCUUCUGCAAGAGGUCACUUCCGUUGUCUAUUUCAGAUGCCCACUAUCUUCACAAUGUGGUGGGAGACACAGAAAUUAGGAAAGGGGAAGGGAUGCAGUUGGAUCAGCUUAUACAGGACACUUCCUUGUCAAGAGAGACGAGUUCCCGCAUCCAGCCGUUUGACCUAGAUGUUCUUGGAGAAGCUUUUCAACUACGUGAAGCGGCUCCAGUUGUUCUGCCUCCUUCUGAGAAAGGCAUCCCAACUGUAGCUGGAAAAUCUAAAAGUGAGUCGAAAGACAAGGAUAAGAAGCAUAAAAAGCACAGAGAUAAGGACAAGGAGAAGGACAAAGAGCAUAAGAAACACAAACAUCGGCAUAAAGAUCGAAGCAAAGACAAGGAUAAAGAGAAAAAUAGAGAUAAAAGUGGUCAUCAUGAUUCUGGUGCUGAUCAUUCGAAGAAACAUCGUGAGAAGAAAAGGAAGCAUGAUGGAGAGGAUCUUAAUGACGUUCACAAACACAAGAGAAGCAAGCACAAGAGCUCAAAGAUUGAUGAGAUUGGUGCAAUAAAGGUAGCAGGCUGAAAUAUGGCGUGUGGUUCUAUCAUUUGUUUAAUCCUCAGACUUUGCAGUUGAGAAUUUCGAGGGAUCCUUUACUUAGUAUUGUGAAAAAUCUGAGUGGCGUAUUCUGUUAGUCUGCCCCCUUUUUGAUGGUGAGCAACACCUUACAAAGGUUUAUUUUACAUGGUAUUUAUCCUUUUCAUAUCCUUCUUGAUGUUCUUAACCAAGAGCGAAGCAGUGUGGUACCUGUUACGUCACAUAUUGCAUAAUAUGCCUGUUUAUUUUUCCAUGCAGAAUUGCCUUUGGACUAACUAAAGAUUGCCAAGAAGGUGAAUUCACCUGUUGAAGUAGAUUUUAGUGCACGGUACAACUGUUGAAAAGCACCAGAAUGUGUAAUAUAUAAAAAAAAAGGACUUCCUUAUAGUUGGUAAUGACACACUGAUAACCUUGAUCCCUUCAUUCAGAGUGACUUACUGCAUUGUGUGUUGUGGUCAUUUGUGUCCUGUCCCUCUUUCAAUGGCUCUAAUCUCCAGGCUGUGUUUAACCAGCAGCUUUGGUAAUAGGAAGAGAAGUUUUGAUACGAGUGUUGGUGUGGUCUUUUCUGAUUUGUCCUUCCCAUUGAGCUUGAAGGUGAUCCCUCAUCAGCAGUCAAACACCCAACAUGGGAGGGGAAAAUGUUUAAAAGGAUGUCUAUAUGUACAAUGCUAGGAAUUCUGCUCGUCAUGGCUAGAUAUUCUUGUAUAUACUAGGCUAGAAAUGAGAUCAAAUCAUUGUUUGACAUGAAAUCCUGGUAAUAUAUGUAUUCAUAUUUGGCUAAACUGGCGCUCCUUAUGCUAAUAGAUCCUUUCGUCGUAACGAGCCCUGUAUUGAAAAACCUGUCUUCUCUGGGCAUAUUACCUUAUUGGAGGAAAAGGAACUUUGAA
Molecule: non-coding RNA, 1875 nt
Organism: Nicotiana tabacum (common tobacco)
Lineage: Eukaryota; Viridiplantae; Streptophyta; Magnoliopsida; Solanales; Solanaceae
Source: RefSeq, a predicted model, not a curated record